Non-coding RNA from Cinara cedri, 250 nucleotides. The record is from the annotation of a GenBank genome assembly. Lineage: Eukaryota; Metazoa; Arthropoda; Insecta; Hemiptera; Aphididae.
GAGCGCAGUUCGGUAAUACAUAAUUUGAAGUGCCGUAAGUUUUAUUAUUUUAAUUAAUAGUUAAUAAUUCAACAAUAAAGGUCUCUUGUCGUUUUUCAAUUGGAGCCAUAUUUGUGCUAGAAAACGUGGUAGGUACUUAUUUAAAAUAACGAAAUCGUAUUUUUUUCGCGGUUAAUCGUUUUUAUUUUAAAUACCGUUUCGAAAAUCAAAAAAUGAUUUAUGUAUUCACUAAGUAGAUAAAAUUGACUUU